Molecule: ribosomal RNA, 848 nt
Filed under: Salmonella enterica subsp. enterica serovar Virchow
Lineage: Bacteria; Pseudomonadati; Pseudomonadota; Gammaproteobacteria; Enterobacterales; Enterobacteriaceae
Description: partial 23S ribosomal RNA
Rfam family: Bacterial large subunit ribosomal RNA
Source: RNAcentral
AGACCCGAAACCCGGUGAUCUAGCCAUGGGCAGGUUGAAGGUUGGGUAACACUAACUGGAGGACCGAACCGACUAAUGUUGAAAAAUUAGCGGAUGACCUGUGGCUGGGGGUGAAAGGCCAAUCAAACCGGGAGAUAGCUGGUUCUCCCCGAAAGCUAUUUAGGUAGCGCCUCGUGAAUUCAUCUCCGGGGGUAGAGCACUGUUUCGGCUAGGGGGCCAUCCCGGCUUACCAACCCGAUGCAAACUGCGAAUACCGGAGAAUGUUAUCACGGGAGACACACGGCGGGUGCUAACGUCCGUCGUGAAGAGGGAAACAACCCAGACCGCCAGCUAAGGUCCCAAAGUCAUGGUUAAGUGGGAAACGAUGUGGGAAGGCCCAGACAGCCAGGAUGUUGGCUUAGAAGCAGCCAUCAUUUAAAGAAAGCGUAAUAGCUCACUGGUCGAGUCGGCCUGCGCGGAAGAUGUAACGGGGCUAAACCAUGCACCGAAGCUGCGGCAGCGACACUGUGUGUUGUUGGGUAGGGGAGCGUUCUGUAAGCCUGUGAAGGUGGCCUGUGAGGGUUGCUGGAGGUAUCAGAAGUGCGAAUGCUGACAUAAGUAACGAUAAAGCGGGUGAAAAGCCCGCUCGCCGGAAGACCAAGGGUUCCUGUCCAACGUUAAUCGGGGCAGGGUGAGUCGACCCCUAAGGCGAGGCCGAAAGGCGUAGUCGAUGGGAAACGGGUUAAUAUUCCCGUACUUGGUGUUACUGCGAAGGGGGGACGGAGAAGGCUAUGUUGGCCGGGCGACGGUUGUCCCGGUUUAAGCGUGUAGGUGUGUGUUCCAGGUAAAUCCGGUUCACUUUAACACUG